RNAcentral lists this ribosomal RNA (253 nucleotides) under uncultured bacterium. Its description in RNAcentral is "partial 16S ribosomal RNA". It matches the Rfam family "Bacterial small subunit ribosomal RNA", at positions 524 to 776 of the family's 1533-position model. RNAcentral also lists the same sequence under 1 other name. The record is from RNAcentral.
UACGUAGGGUGCAAGCGUUAAUCGGAAUUACUGGGCGUAAAGCGUGCGCAGGCGGUUUUAUAAGUCUGAUGUGAAAUCCCCGGGCUCAACCUGGGAACUGCAUUGGAGACUGUAAGGCUAGAGUGUGUCAGAGGGGGGUAGAAUUCCACGUGUAGCAGUGAAAUGCGUAGAUAUGUGGAGGAAUACCGAUGGCGAAGGCAGCCCCCUGGGAUAACACUGACGCUCAUGCACGAAAGCGUGGGGAGCAAACAGG